GCCCAACAUAGCCCCAAAACUAACCUCAAAACACCCACUACAACAAAACAAACCAUUUGACAAAAUUAGUAAAGGCGAUUAAAC
RNAcentral lists this ribosomal RNA (84 nucleotides) under Holbrookia maculata (lesser earless lizard). Its description in RNAcentral is "partial 16S large subunit ribosomal RNA". The record is from RNAcentral. Lineage: Eukaryota; Metazoa; Chordata; Lepidosauria; Squamata; Phrynosomatidae.